RNAcentral lists this ribosomal RNA (119 nucleotides) under Pteropus alecto (black flying fox). The record is from RNAcentral. Lineage: Eukaryota; Metazoa; Chordata; Mammalia; Chiroptera; Pteropodidae.
GUCUACGGCCAUGCUACCCUGAACAAGCCCGAUCCCGUCUGAUCUCUGAAGCUAAGGAAGGUCAGGCCUAGUUAGCACUUGGAUGGGAGAUCACCUAGGAAGACCAAGUGCUGUAGGCA